Molecule: small RNA, 72 nt
Filed under: Camelimonas lactis
Lineage: Bacteria; Pseudomonadati; Pseudomonadota; Alphaproteobacteria; Hyphomicrobiales; Chelatococcaceae
Description: Makes More Granules Regulator RNA (mmgR)
Rfam family: Makes More Granules Regulator RNA (mmgR)
About the family: SuhB later renamed mmgR (makes more granules regulator) was a putative non-coding RNA found multiple times in the Agrobacterium tumefaciens genome and related alpha-proteobacteria. Other non-coding RNAs uncovered in the same analysis include: speF, ybhL, metA, and serC. Several studies inSinorhizobium meliloti showed that suhB element is indeed a non-coding RNA:firstly it was detected on Northern blot and called Sm8RNA, secondly in an RNAseq study referred to as SmelC689.
Source: Rfam by way of RNAcentral
GCUGCGUGCCCUCCUUGGGCGUUUCCUCCCUAGACUUGGCUGCGCUUCGGCGCAGCCUUUUUUCUUGGGACA